Molecule: RNA transcript, 16560 nt
Organism: Mus musculus (house mouse)
Lineage: Eukaryota; Metazoa; Chordata; Mammalia; Rodentia; Muridae
Gene: Nebl
Gene name: nebulette
Exons: 29
Source: RefSeq, marked validated
AUCCCUCAUGUGAGUGUCUGGUGCCCCAUGGUGAUCAGAAGAGGGUACCAAAUCCCUUGGAACUGGAGUUACAGACCCUUGUGAACUGAAAUGUAGCUGCUAGGAAUUAAGCCUGGGUCCUCUGGAAGAUCAAGUGCUCUAACCACUGGGAAAACUCUCCAGUCCCAACAUUUCUUUUUUGAGACAGGACCUCAUAUAGCCUCAGAGUAGCCUUAAAUCCACUGUAGUUGUAGUGAUCCUCUUGUUUCUACCUUGCCUGUGGUGGCAUUACAGGUGUUCCCUACUGUCCCUGGUUUUGGAUCCAGAACUUUACCAACUGAGCUAUAUCCCUAGGCCUAUUGAUAACAUUUCUAAUUAUGGUCUGGGAGAGUAAAAUCCUAUUUUUUUCUAUAACUUGUCUGAUGAUAAAAUAUUUAGGGAUUAAUUACAGAAAAAUAUAAAGGGUAAAAAAAACUUGCUACUUCAGGGCAUGAAGACAGAUUCAAGACGUCUUCGGAGAUAAAAUUGAGAGGCUUGGGUGCCUGGGUUUGUGUGUAGGGGCCACACUCUGAGUUGGUUUCGUUGCUGAAAAGAUGAGACUAUUACUCAUUGAAUUGCUCUGUACUCCAGGAAAGUAAAAUUCAGUGGAGAUUUCUGAGAAGCCUGUUGACCAGUAUACUACGUUGUAUUUACUUGAGCAAAAUUUAAUGACCUGAGGUAAAUUGUGUGAGUAAGUCUUUAUCAGAAGGCAAGAGAAUGGGCAUCUGUUGUCUUUGCCCACUUUGUUUUAAGGUUGUGCAUAAAGAAUCCUAACCAUCGUGGUUUACAAACCAAAGGACUAGAUUGUAACUCACUAUGGCCAAAAGGAAGGUCAAAGUUCACACAGUUAGAUGUUUUAGUUUUCUGUUAUUGCUGUUAUAACACAAUUAAUCAAAACAUCCUGCUAUAGUUCAGAGGUAAGGUGUUUGUCUCACAUGCACAAAGCCAUAGGUUCAAUUCCAGCUCCACUUAAACCAAACCAAACCAAACUGAACCAAACCAAACCAAAACCAACCAAACAAAACCUAAUGAUGAAAAAUAACACAGACAUGUCAUCCCACAGUUCUGAAUACCAGAAAAUCUGAAAUCAAGAUGGCGGCAGGGUUGUAUUCCUUUGGAAGGCUCUAGGAGAAAAUGUGUUUCCUUGACUUUUCCAGUGUCUCCUAGAGGAUGUCUCCAUUCCUCAGUUCCCUCUAGUCUCCAUGGUUUUCAAGGCAAGCAUCGGAGCAUCUUCAAAUCUCCUUAGUCUUCAGCUUCUAUUGUCAUGUCUUCUCUGAUUGUGAGAUUCCUGUCUUCCUUUUUUGAGGAAUGACACCGAGUCUACCUGGAUAUUCUAGUUGGUCCUUCCGGUCCUUCCAUGUUACCAUCCUUCAUUACGUCAGUAUAUUCUUUUUCAUUCUCUGUGUUAUUCAUCUUUCUGGUUACAAAAUACUUGAGAUACUCAUUUUAAAAACAGGACAGUUCUAUUUUGGCUUAUUGAUUUUCAAAUUUCAGUCCAUAGGUGCAUGGGUUAAUUACUUUGGAAUAAUGUGUAUGAGCAGCACACCCCAGUGGGAAGAAAUGCAGAUCAUCUACCCAAAGGACCCACUUCUCAUUAGACUCUACCUCUUCCAGGUUCUACUUCUCAAUAGUGACAUAGGCUGGGGACAAAGCUUUUAGGAUACAGGGCCUUGGUGGUGGUGGAUUCUAUGUGAAAAGUAUAAUUGUAUCAUGUAAAGUGAUGUAUUCAUGGGAGGAGGUUUCAGAAGGGAACCUUCAGUUUUGUGAGGAGAUAUUAUUUUGCCUGACUCAAAUGGCCUUGUCUUGUUCUUUAUUUUUAGGGUCUCUAACCCAGAAGGGCAGGAACAAGAGGUUGACAUUCAUCCUAACUUUCUGUCUUCUCCUUCCAAAGGGGCAAAGGUUUCCGGGGGGACUCACUUCACCACUGAGGCACAGUAUUCAUAGAUGCCUUGGGGUGUAGGAACUUGGGACUUAUUUUGGUGAGUCUUGUCAUUCAGCAAGAGAUUUUUUUUUUUCAUUAGCUGAAGUUUGCUGCUAUGUCAUGGCAUGUUGGUGCAGGACACUGACAUGCCAGUAAAAAGAGAAUAAUAUAUAAAACAGGAAUUAGGGUUAUCGUUUUUGGGCUCCUCACAUUAGGUGUUCUGUUCUUGGGAGUAGGACAAUCCACCACAGUUAUGUCUAAGCCACUGCUUGUCAAAGCUUUGGUAAUAUUAAUUACUUUUUAAAUUUUUUGAAUUUUAUGUUCAAUUUAUAUAGUUUAAAUAAUCAUUUUCUAUAACACAUUUUCUAUAAAUAGACUCUAAGGGAAAAAUGAGCAGAUCUGAGAAUUUUAUCUAAAGAAAUAAUCUGACUUCUAAGUACAGAACCUUUUUUUAAAUAUAAAGAUGACUAAUAAUGGUACAUUAUUAUUGCUAUUAUUACUACUGUAUUAUUAUUAUUAUUAUUAUUAUUAUUAUUAUUUUACCUCUGUGGCCAUGCCAGCUGAAAGAACUAAAUGUGUUUGUACUGGGAUAUAGUCCCACAAGGCAGAAUUUCUUGACUGGUCAAGUAAAAAAGACAUGAGGACAGAGGUCUUUUUGGUGGAAUAAUUAAAUCAUUUUAUCUGCUUGAAGGAACAAGGCUGGGCCAGAGGACAGGUUCCAGCCAAAGCACCAAGACCUUGAUUUUGGAAAUAAAUAUGUCCUUUUAGAGACAGAUGGUAUUAGAGUUCUCUUAAUAUGGUAUCAAGAAACUUAGAAACUGGCUUGAUACAGAAAACAAAGAAUCGGAGGAACAGAAUUGGCCAGGAAACAGUGCCAGGAGUCAUUGUUUCCCCUUCGAAGAGUAACACUCCACAGUUAAUUUCAGUUUUAAGGUGUGCGCUUGUUUCAUGCAUGCGUUCAGUCAACAGUUAAUUACUACUUGCUGUGUGUCAAUCACUGUGAUGGGUGGCUGAUUUGUAAGAAAAUAUACAAUUUAUAGGGAAACCAACUAUCACUUUACACAUGAAUUCUGUGCUUAGCAGUUAAGUAAGAGUAAAGUAUUUAGACUACAUUUUAUGACUACACUUCCAAAAAUUGUAAAUGAUUAAAAGGAAGUGGUAAAGAUUGCCUCCCUCAGGAGAUUUCACACAUACCGCUUUUUGCCAAUAGUCACCUUUGAUGUGAUUUUAAGGAUUCAUGCUUCUCUCAGAUAGCAAAUUAUCCUUUUAUUUGCUUUGAAGGUGGAGUUGUGGACAUAGAGGUGAGUGGUUCAGAGCCACUGGAUUUGGUGACUAUGUUUGAAGAAGUUACCUCUUUGAAAAGCCAAACAGCCCAGCAUUAUUCUGUGCCUUCAUGGCACAGCCUGCCUGAGAGGCCUGGCAACGAACAGUUGUCUCCGGAAGAACUGCAGCUAUGGUUUUUCUUGAACUGACAGAAAUGUUUGUCACAGAAGUUGCUAAGUGGCAUGACUUAAUCCUCUUGCUAGAAAAGGAAUGUGUUUGUUACAACCAAUUUAUGAUAAUCCUAGCCGAUUUGAUUAGCUUACAGAGAGGCCAGGGAGGUUGAAGCGCUUACUUACCGCAGACUCACUUAACCCUCCCUCCAGAAGGGUCAGAGCUGUUUCGUAACUCCGUUGUCAGCCCCAUUCUGAAGAUGAAAAGAUUGAGUAAAAGAGAGGCUAAGCAUUGGCAGAAGGUCACAAAACCAGUAAGUGGCAGGGUGGCAGGGUCAGGCACAAAAUACAGUUAACAUGGUUCCAUUUGUUUGCCUUUCAUAAACGAAACCAAUAACCCCGAUGUUAUUAUUAAAACGGAGAACCUUGCUGGUUUGUCCCAGUCCAUCCUACCCUUUGCUUGAUUUUCUGGCUCUUCUGGUUUGGAUGAUGGGUUUGUAAUUGCUUCUCCUGGUGCAAGAGAACUUUUCGCAGAUCUUUGUGGUACUUAAUUGCAAAAGAAUAUUCUGAAUACACCCACUUAAAGCGAACACCGACUGUAUUAACCAAGAGAGAUUUGAUUCUGGCCUGCAAUGACCAGUAGCUCUCCAGCGAUGGGUAUAAAAAGUGCGGCGACUAGGGGGCACCAAGAAAGCUUCCUUAUCCAGGAAUUCAGGCAGGCACGCUACUCAUUUUCUCUGCCGGGUAGUGGUGGAAGCUAGGUGGCCCAAAGGGGUGUAUGGGGGACUUGAGUCUAUCGGUUUCUGUGAACCUCCCAGUUCCAGGUCAAGCGUCUUUUGUUCAAGGCACAGAAAGGCUCUUCGCAAUCUUGACCAGUGUGCUGUGCGCUACCAUGCAGAGCUGGACCCUUGAGACGUAGGAGGAGCUUAGGCACAUCCUUGGCCGACCUCUGGGUGUCAGGGACAUCACCCUGGAGUGAGAGGAGGGGAGAGAGGAAGGGGCCUGGAAGUGUGCGGGUUUGAGCUUUUCCCGAGCUCCCGUCACCCCAGUUCUGACCUCCUCCGCCUGGCUCCCUUUGUCGCUGACGCCCACCUGGGAGCCCCGGACUGCUGUGGCCGUGGGUGUCGGCUCCCCAGGCCUCAUGGGUGGCUGCGUGUGGAGUUCUCCGGGUCCCUAGUCUUCCCUCCCCCCCGCGCCGUCCUCUGUCCCUUGGUGCCAGACAGGCUGGUUUUCUGCCCUUUGGGUAGGCGCGCGCUGGUGGGUUUGGCCUGCGCGGCGACGGCGGCGGCGGCGGCGGCGGCGGGGGAGCGAGUGAGCGAGCGCAAGGGGCGGGCGCGAGUGCUUGUGAGUCACCGGUACCUGGAGCGCUAGCGACGCAGAGCCAGCGGCGCACAGCCCAAGCCGGAGCCUAGUGCCAGCGUCGCCGAGCGCGGCCUGCCCCCUUGCACCUCUCCAGGCCAGUUUGACAGCGCCUGAAGCCCUUCUCCCUGCCCCGAGGUGGCGCGGGGCUCUUCGGGGGAUGUCACAGCGGCUCCUCGGAGCCCCUAGUUCCCGCUGCAGCAACAGCCACCGCCCGCGGGAACCGCGACAAUGAAUCCCCAGUGCGCCCGCUGCGGAAAAGUGGUGUAUCCCACAGAGAAAGUCAACUGUCUAGAUAAGUAUUGGCAUAAAGGAUGUUUCCACUGCGAGGUCUGCAAGAUGGCUCUCAACAUGAACAACUACAAAGGCUAUGAAAAGAAGCCCUAUUGCAAUGCACACUACCCAAAGCAGUCCUUCACCACAGUGGCGGAUACACCUGAAAACCUUCGCCUGAAGCAGCAAAGUGAACUGCAGAGCCAGGUCAAGUACAAAAGAGAUUUUGAAGAAAGCAAAGGCAGGGGCUUCAGCAUUGUCACAGAUACUCCUGAGCUGCAGAGGCUGAAGAGGACCCAGGAGCAGAUCAGUAAUGUAGGUGCCCUUUUACUUGAUGGAGAGGUGGCCCUGGAGUGUGUCUCUGGGUAGGAAUGUGAGACUGAAUGUGUGUGAAGCAUAGCUGUUGCUGAGUGUGUCCAGUCUCCUCACAACGCAUGCCAGCGUCACCUGUCAAAUCCCAGGCCUCUGAUCUCGUCACUUAUCUAUAGCCUACCGUCUAUAACAGUAUCUUCUUCGUAUAUUUUGAAUAUCUCCCAGCCUUCAUAUUUGGACAACAUUAAAUGUUUGUAAUGAAAAAAUUCUGAUAGUUUUUCACCAUGUGGAUAACUAUAAAGUUAACAUAUAGCUUGAGUAUAGUUUAAAAAAAAAAGAAAGAAAAGGUCUUUUCUAUUGUGUACAUACUUUGUAUAUCUGUUAAUCAUAUGUUACAUCUAAUUUUAGGAAUAAACAUUUGUUUAUGUAGUUGUUUUCUUCUUGAAAACUACAUCGUUUUAGUAAUAUAUUUUCUGGAGUAGCUAAAACUGGGCCUGGAAGGAGUCUGAGGCACAUUAGGACGUGACUCUCGCACUUGCUAAAAGGGGAUAUGCGUCCAUCCUUGACUUUUGUAAUUCAUAUGUGGGAUUAUAUUUCUUCUAAUGUAUUGCAUUAAAUAUGUCAAAAUGCAUUUUUAUGCAAAGGAGUAGGUUUAAUGUUAGAUACCCAGAAUGGAAACUAAAAACUGUGCAUGGUAUAGCAAACAUGCAAAGCUACAACCACCACCAUGAGAUUGUGGAUGUCACUGUCACAAGUAUUACAAAUAGACACACACAUACACACACACACACACACACACACACACACACACACAGAGUAUACAGAUGCUAUAAGUAAUAUAGCCCUAAUUUCUAGGAAAUGUUUAUCAUUAGCAGAUGGAUUUAAAUUUACCAAUAGUUUUUCACCAUGUGGAUAACUAUAUAAAGUUAACAUAUAGCUUGAGUAUAGUUUAAAAAAAAAAGAAAGAAAAGGUCUUUUCUAUUGUGUACAUACUUUGUAUAUUUGUUAAUCAUAUGUUGCAUCUAAUUUUAGGAAUAAACAUUUGUUUAUGUUUAUUCCUAAAUAACAUGACUAGGUCAUGGUCAUAAGCUACAGCAUAUAUAUGUAAAUCUACACACACACACACACUAUUUAUAGAUAGAGUUUAGCAUCUUAUUUUUUAAAAGUUCAGGGUCAGAACUAUUUGGUGUUUAAAAUGUUAUCUCAAGGCCAGGAAAAGCCCCCCCCUCUUUUUUUUUUAUCACAUUCUCUAUGAUUUACCCAUUGUUUGGUCUUUAUGUGAACAUUUUCUACUAGAGGUUUGUUUUGUUGUUGUUGUUGUUGUUGUUUUUUUCCUUCAUUUAAAGAGACAGAGUGGACUUUUAGGAGCUGAUGAUAGCCACCCUGUCCCAUGGUUUUUCUUAAGACUUUUUGGACUGCCGAUAAUGAGUAAUAAAGAUAAUUAUCUUCAUUCUCCCCGUUCAUUCUCCCCUGAAAUCAAAAACCCAUUCUUCCUUUAAAAGUACAAACUGGACAUGCAUUUCAAUGACAGUUCUGCUCAGAGUUUUAAAAUGUUAUGCCAACUUCAGUUCUCUCUCAAAUGCUCAACUAGCAUAGAAGUUUAUUUCUGAAAGAACUAAGCAACUCUUCUUAAGACCACCAUGUGAUGGAUAACAGGAGGAUUAUAGCUCACUCAGAGGUAAGCCUUUUCAUUUAUGUUCAAAUUAAGUCAGUGUUCAUAAGUAAUCAGAAAAUAACUCACCUUCUCACGAAACUUUAUCAUUAGCAGGAGUAUACUUUAUAUUCAAUGCCAGAGGUCGUUUGCAGAUCCAUUCUUAACUAUGCCAAACCCCUUAUAACGCAGGUGGAAGGAAGGUAUCACGUGAAGAGGAAAGAGAAAGAAAGCAAUGAGAGAAUGCCAGGCUUUCUGAGAUGGAUGGAAAUGAGACUGACUGUAACCAUGUUCAGCUGCUGACAGUGUAAAAUUGAGCUGUAUGGUGGACAGAAGACAAGCAGUCAAGAGAAAUCCCCAAAGCCCAGCGAAGAACCAUUAAGAACUCACAGCAAGAUUGAAGAUGAGAAGAAAUCCUGCUUAAGCCUCAGGCACGCCAUUCACUAUGGAAACAGACAUCACCCAAAGCAACAUGAGCAUUGUCAUCUGAAGUGGAAGCUAAGAGGUUCAUCUUGGACAGCGUUGGGAUAUUUUUUCCUAUGUACUUCUGAAGGGUAAAGAUGAAGGUACCUGUAUCCGGGGAUGUAAAAGAGGAAACUGAGGAGGAAAAUGUGGAGCAGGAAGAAAACCAGGAAGCCAAGGUGUCUCUGAAACCUGUUAUUGAAGACCUCAGCAUGGAACUGGCCAGAAAGUGCACCGAGCUCAUUAGUGACAUCCAUUAUAAAGAAGAGUACAAAAAGUCUAAGGACAAGUGUACGUUUGUGACUGAUACCCCUAUGCUAAACCAUGUAAAAAAUAUUGGUGCUUUUAUUUCUGAGGCAAAAUACAAAGGUACCAUUAAGGCUGAUCUUUCCAAUUGUCUGUAUAAGGACAUGCCUGCCACCAUCGACAGUGUCUUUGCAAGAGAAGUAUCCCAGCUUCAGAGUGAGGUUGCCUACAAGCAGAAGCACGAGGCUGAGAAAGGCUUCUCCGAUUACACCCACAUGAAGGAACCACCGGAGGUCAGACGUGCCAUGGAGGUCAACAGACACCAGAGUAAUAUUUCUUACAGAAAAGAUAUGCAAGGCACCCACACGUAUACAGCGGAGCUGGACAGACCGGAUAUCAAGAAGGCAACUCAGAUCUCCAAGAUCAUAAGCGAUGCAGAAUACAAGAAAGGGCAAGGCAUAGUGAAUAAAGAACCUUCUGUAAUUGGAAGACCAGAUUUUGAACAUGCUGUGGGAGCUUCUAAACUUUCUAGUCAGGUUAAAUAUAAAGAAAAAUUUGAUAAUGAAAUGAAGGAAAAAAGCCACCAUUACAACCCUCUGGGAAGUGCGUUUUUUAGGCAACACCAGUUCGCUGCUGUCCUGGCCAGUGAUUGGGAAUAUAAAAGGGAUUUUGAAGAAAACAAAGGAUUGUAUCACUUUGAUGCGGAGGCCCCUGAACACCUGCACCAUAAAGGAAACGCCACCCUCCAGAGUCAGGUAAAAUACAGAGAAGAAUAUGAGAAAAAUAAGGGAAAGUCCAUGCUUGAGUUUGUUGAGACACCAUCAUAUCAGUCUUCAAAGGAAGCUCAGAAGAUGCAGAGUGAGAAAGUUUACAAAGAAGAUUUUGAGAAGGAAAUUAAAGGAAGGUCCUCACUGGAUUUAGACAAGACACCUGCAUUUCUACAUGUGAAGCAUAUCACCAACCUGAUGAGGGAGAAAGAAUAUAAAAAAGAUCUGGAAAAUGAAAUCAAAGGGAAAGGAAUGGAGCUCAGUUCAGAAGUUCUUGAUAUUCAGAGAGCAAAGCGAGCAUCUGAAAUGGCCAGCGAGAAAGAAUACAAAAAGGAUCUGGAGUUGGAAAUUAAAGGCAAGGGAAUGCAAAUUGACACCGAUACCCUUGAAAUACAACGUGCCAAAAGAGCUGCCAAGAUAGCCAGCGCGAAAGACUACAAAAGAGAUCUGGAGACAGAAAUUAAAGGAAAAGGGAUGCAAGUCAGCACAGACACUCUGGAUGUCCAGAGAGCUAAGAGGGCAUCCGAGAUGGCCAGCCAGAAGCAAUAUAAGAAAGACUUGGAGAAUGAAAUUAAGGGGAGAGGAAUGCAAGUGAACAUGGAUAUCCCAGAUAUGCUUCGAGCCAAGAGGGCAUCUGAAAUCUACAGCCAGAGAAAGUAUAAAGAUGAAGCUGAGAAAAUGCUUUCCAACUACUCCACUGUGGCAGUCACUCCCGAGAUUCAGAGAAUCAAGACGACACAGCAAAAUAUUAGCAAUGUAUCUUAUAAGGAAGAAGUGGGAGCUGGCACAGCCGUAAGGAAUACCCCAGAGAUUGAACGAGUGAAGAAAAACCAGCACAAUAUUAGCUCAUUCCAGUAUAAAGAGCAAACCUAUAAGGCCACUCCUGUAACCAUGACCCCAGAGAUAGAGAGAGUGAAGAGGAACCAGGAACAGCUGAGUGCGGUUUAUUAUAAAGGUCAACUGGGAAGGGCUACAGCUUUGAGUGUAACUCCUGAAAUGGAAAGAGUAAAGAAGAAUCAAGAAAAUAUCAGCUCGGUGAAAUACACUCAGGACCAUAAACAAAUGAAAGGUAGACCGUGUCUGAUCUUAGAUACACCGGCUUUGAGACAUGUUAAAGAAGCACAAAAUAAUGUUUCCAUGGUAGGAUGCAGCGGAUCACUGUCUCCAUGACUAAAACAUACUAAGGAACGGCAAGACCUGUAUUUGGAUGGCAUUCACUCACUACUUAUCUGAAUAACUAACAAAGCAUGGGAAUUUGAAUAAGCCCUUGGGGCACAGUGUUAUAGUUACACUGAAAUGUAAUGAAAACAUUUUCUCUAAUAAAAUAAUUUUCCCUCAAUGAUUUUUGGUGUGUUCUUAUUUCUAACUUGACUACCAUAAAUGCAUUUUGUGAAUGACAUUUACCUAGACUUUGUUUUCAUUUAAUUUUAAGACAUACUUUGUUAUAUUUGAAAGAAUAUUUUUAGUGUGUUUCAAGAACAGUUUCAUGUAAUUUUUUUACCAUGAAGUUUACCAAUUUAAAAUGUUUAAUAUAAGUUAAUAUAAUUUAGAGGAUUGUUUUUUGUAACUAUAUAUAAAUUUUAUAGAACAUAUAGAACUCUUGUCAUCUAAUUUUAAAUACCACUGUUGUGUUGAUGAAUUGUGCUUAAAUAACAUUACUACUGUAUAUUGAAGAUGAAAAGAUUGGCAAUCGAUCUGUAGUCAAAUUGUGUGUUUUAAGAAGUAGCAAAUGUUUUAAAGUAAUUGUCUUUUAUACCUCACUGAUAGGUAAUUUACAUAUCAUUUGAUCAUAUUAUUUACAGUAUUUAAAAAUUUAAAAUUAUCAGCACUUGAUUUCUGACACUGUUUUGGACUCUUUGAGGAAAUUAUAUUAUAUCACAGUAUAUUAUAUUUACUAUAUGUGAUAAUCCAGAUAUAUUUUAUGUGACCUAUUAUUUUAUAAGCAUUUUGUGAGAUAAUUAGAAAUUACAGUUGGGAUUAAGGAUAAUUUCUUUUGCAGGUCAAAUACCAUGAAGAUUUUGAGAAGACAAAGGGAAGAGGCUUCACUCCCGUUGUGGAUGAUCCUGUGACUGAACGGGUGAGGAAGAGCACCCAGGUUGUGAGCGAUGCUGCCUAUAAAGGGGUCCAGCCACAUGUUGUGGAGAUGGACAGAAGACCUGGGAUCAUUGUUGCACCUGUCCUUCCUGGAGCUUACCAGCAGAGCCAUUCCCAAGGCUAUGGGUACAUGCAUCAGACCAGCGUGUCGUCCAUGAGGUCAAUGCAGCCUCCAGCACAUCUAAGGACCUACCGCGCCAUGUACGAUUAUAGCGCCCAGGAUGAAGAUGAGGUCUCCUUCCGAGAUGGUGACUACAUUGUCAACGUGCAGCCCAUUGAUGAUGGCUGGAUGUAUGGCACCGUGCAGAGAACCGGGAGAACGGGCAUGCUCCCAGCAAAUUACAUUGAGUUUGUGAAUUAAUUCUUUCUCCUUGCCCUUCGAGCUUUAUUAUGAUGUAUUCCAAACUCAAUCUUUUUAAAAGAUAGAUGAUACUUUUCAGAUAACUUGGCAAUUAUUUUACAAUAAUGUAUCCUUACUUUGACAAUUAGACACACAGGUACCAGGAAAAAAGGAAUUGACUUUCAGGCUGGAAAUGGCAGCAUCCAUAGUAAUUCCUGUAAACAAAACCAUUAGGUCUGGAGACCUGGUGCUGCUAAUUGUGUUUGUGGUUUCAUUCAAUUGGCUAUCCAACCCUUCUGGGAAAUGUAUUUUUGUAGACUUUAAUAGAGAUGUUGAUUGUCCCUUAAGUGUAACAAAUGUAUGAAAUUUCUUAGCUGUCACUUGGAAUCAUCCAUAGCUAAUUCUCAUAGUCCAGCAACACAUCCAAUAAUUUAAAAACUGUUCAGCUUUUAAAUCAUUGGAUAAUUUUCAAUUCAAGGGAGGAUCACCUAAUAUAAUAAAUAAAUGGAAACAGUGGCAGAAUGGGUCUGGUUAAAAUCAUAUUGACUGUAGCCUUAGGGAGUCGGCAGGGAACUUAGCCUUUCCCUAGGCUGAGCGGGAGCUAUUUAGUUCUCAUGUGCUUCAUGGUGUAGCCUAUCUCCAUUUAUGUUCUGUGGAGCAGUGCAUCUGCUCAGGUCCCCAGAAUGUCAGGACCAGGUAACUUCCCAGCUUCUCUGCAAAGGGCAAAGUCUAAUGUCAUCUGUACUAUUUCACCAGUAGCCUCUAUCCUGUUGCAUGUCUGUGGGCGUGAGCUUCUGUAACAUGGCAACAUCUGUAACAGCUGCUAGCCCAUCCUUGUUACUAAAGUCAACCGUAUGGCCACUCUCUCCCUGCCCUUCUUCUAGUUGCCCGCUCAUUGGAAAACAUUUUGAAAAGUUGCUUGAGGCUUUCUUGCUGCAUUACACUCUAGUUUUGAAAGACUCACACCUUAGGAACUACAUAUAUACUCUAGUAAAUAGGAGACUUAUGUAUUUACUGGAUAGCUUUCACUCACUUAAUGCCACCAUUGAUUUAAAAGUGGAGUGAAUUGAACAGCCUCGACCGUAAGCGGAAAUGGAGUAUAAAGUAGCUGAAAACCAAAAACACAGAACAGCAAAGGUUUGCUCACAGUUAGACAAUCUGGUCUUAUACUUUGGUAAUCAGUCUUCAGAUGCUGGGAUAGAAAUCUGGCCAUUAAAUAUGUUCAUAAAAAGGCUUCCCUUUUCCAUUCCCGUUUUUGUUUUCUAAGUCACCUUCACGAUUAGAUUAAAAAAAGUCAUGAGUGAUUUUUUGGUGGGGAGGGAUGUCCAACAGAUAAUCCACUAAGGAAGAAAUCAGUGUCCGGUUUUGAGUAGUUUGCAGGACUCACACACUUGUGAGUAAACUUGUCUGGAAUCUGCAGUUGAAGUCACCUGGAUGUUGACAUUUAUUGCAACUCUGUUUUUUCAUAGUGCCUCUGACUGUGACUUGCAGCUUGGUGGCAUUCUUGUAAGCUCUGAAAAUGAAGAGAGUAAAGUCACAAAAAUAUAAGAGGAUACUGCGACUGUGGGAAUAUCUACUUUACACAAUAUGCUUAAAGAAAUAAACAAAGCAUCCACAACAAAAACCAUUCAAAUGAAAUGUUUAUAAGGCCAAAGUCCAAAGUGGGUUCAUGUAAAUCUUUAGAAAGUGAGCCCAUACUUUUGAAAAAUAUUAGUUUUCUUAGAUUUGCUUUAAGGAAAAGUUUUGUCACACUAAGCUGUAUUUCUGUGACACAGAUAGAAAAUUGAAAAGGAAAAUUCUGCAGAUAACUAGAGAUUUUUCUGGAGAGGUUGUUUUUAUAGACUCAUAAGUAAGUAGCUUACCUAAUCUUCACGUAAUUUAAGUAACCAAUCAUUAUUAACUUUCCUAACUGCUUUCAUGUCUUGAACACACACCUACAAAGAUAAACUGCACUUGCAAUAAUUUGCAAAAAUCUGUACCCGAAAAACAAGGGUGAUAAGUUGCUUCAUUUAUGUGAUAUGUCUUUUAUGCUUCCAGAGGCAGACCAUUUGUGUGUGUGUGUGUGUGUGUGUGUGUGUGUGUGUGUUUGUGACUAUUUUUCAAAAGUAGUCAAAAUUAAAAUGUUAGGAUAAAUGCAGGGCAGGUAUGAUUUUGAUCAUAGUAUAUGUGUAGGAAUCUCAACAGAAGCCAACUUUGAAAUGAUGCUUAACAUUUGCUUGUCCCCACAAAGUAGUGACUCUAUGGUCCAUGUUUUUGCCACUCAUUAAUUUCAAAGUCAGACUUGAUGAGUGUGAGAGUCAGUACAUAUUUAGGAGAUAGCCGUUCUAAAUAUUGAGCUUUGCAUAAUGUUUGCUUAGCAAGAUAUUUCUGUUUCAAGUCUUUCAGAAUUAAGAUAUGAUCUGGAGCUGGCAGCUGUGGCUCAUACCUUUAAUCCCAGCACUCGGGAGGCAGAGGCAGGCAGAUUUCUGAGUUCGAGGCCAGCCAGGUCUACAGAGUGAGUUCCAGGACAGCCAGUUUUCCAUACAGACCAAGGCAGAGCAAUAUAUGGCAUGCUUUCGAGAUUAUGCGUCGAGCCUAGAUGUGUCAUAGCCAGGUGCCAUCUUUUGCAGCAUCUUUUUAAGAAAUACUAUAUUCUUAGCACCUUUUUCGCUUUCCACAUGCCUCCCUCCCACGUGCAGUUUGGCAGUCAAUAUGUCACAUGUAACAUUGACAGCAAUAGAAGAAUUUAAGAACAAGCCCCUUAGAAAUUGGAGUCAAAGGAGACUAAAUGCCAAGCACAGAGGGCACGCACCUCUUCCUAUCUGAUGGAUUCCAAGCUUGCCAGGAGCACAAGAAGGUACUUGAUACACUUCUCAAAGUCUCUGAAAACAAAUGCCUUUGGUUCAUAGUCCUCUUGAGAAAAGUUUAGAAACUUGAUAUAAUGCUUUUGCUAUAAGCUUUUGUAGUAGAUUUAAGAAAAAAAGCAUUUGUUAUCUAGAAAGCUUUUUCUUUCUAGCCUGUGACAAAAUAUCUUCCUAUCUUCAUUUUGCUUGCACAUCUGCAGCACAGCCCAGUUUGCAACUUUGAUCUGGUUUUCAUUUUCCAUGGAGGCUCUGCCUCUUCCCAUGUCUCCCAGCCUCCACACAGCACCCAGGAAUGUCUAAGCACAAUUUCUACAAGCAUCUUGUAAGGGGGAUGGAUGAGAUUAGUCCAGUUUCUCUCUUGCUACUAGGUCCUUUGCUUGAAGAUGAUGAAGAUGUUUUUAGUUAGGGAUCUUCUCUCUGCUGGAGGCCUAUAACACUAUAGGAAUUAGGGGAAAACCUUUUCCAUAAUUGAGAGCAAGUGACACACCUACUUUUCAGGUUCAUCCACCUCCAGUGGAAUGUUUUCAGUCAAAUGAGAAAGAAAAUAAUUGAUCUUUAAUAAUACAGCCCUAUAUUCAGUAGAUGCAGUUUAUACUAAGGUUACAAUAUAAAUAUAUACAAAAUAGGUGCCUUUUUGAUUAUGCUUGUUUAUCAUUAUGGUCUUAGAAAGGAAACCAAGCAAGCAAGCAAGCUUCUGCAUAUUCUAUAGUAAUAUUUUAUGAUACAUGAUCAAUAUUUUUGUGGUGAGAAGUGGGAUACCCUUGAAAGAAAGAUACUACAGGUGGUAGCUAGUUGUAUUUUCCUUCUAAAGGUUUAUAAUACUAGAAAAUGCUGACUUAUUCAAUUUUCUGAGAAGUUUUUUUGUGGAUUUAUAUAUAGUUGAGAUAUAUAGGCAUUAAGUUUAGGUUUGGGGUUUAAAAUAAUUAUGGUGAGACAGACUAGCUAUAUUAUGAGACUGAAUUCACUGCAUAAUUGAACUUUAUGACCUGAUUAUAUUUUAACUGUUUGCCUAUGAUAAUCUGUUUGUGGCUUGUGUUGCGCUGAUAAUCUAAAUUAUCAUUGCAUUGUAUGGGGUAAUAAAACAUGAUGAUAGAGCUUCAGUUAAGCAGGAAGCUAUGUAAACCUUUAAAGAUGCUAAAAAUGAAGGUCUUUCUGAAGUAUUCCAUGCUCCUUAGGACCCUUCUCCAGGCAAGUAGCUGUCAAUAACUGAUGACCAAAAAAGUCAAGCUGUGUGAAACUUCUGUGAUCAUCAUUCCAGGAUGUGUAAGACCACUAGAAUCCUUAUGCCUGGAAACUUCUCUGAGCAAACGUCCUUCCCAAUUAUCUGUAACUUCAGUGUAUCUACAAGAGCUUGCCAUGCUUAUUGUGUCUGGUGUAUUGUAUCCUGGUUGCAUAGCACACACUUCACCGUUGUCAAUUAUUGAUUGUUAAAGAUGAUUUCCUUUAAAGGAAAGAGAAAACUGAAUCGCAGCAUCCUUCCUUCCUGUCCAUACAAUGAAUUGCUGAGCAUUUUGGAAGUUGCAACAAGUGUGUAACAGGCAUGAUAUUUGUAGAACUGUUGGUUUCUGACCUGUGAUAAAAACACAAAUUUGAAUGAUGUAGUUUGGCUUCUGUUUGCUUUGAAAUAUGCACAGUUGUGGUUUGUGGUUAAUUUGUAAAAUUGUACUAACUUUGAGAACAUAAUGAUUUUGAAAGAAGCAUUAAAUGUUUUUUCCCCCAAUGGAAGGGUAUCACAGAAUGAUAUAAGGUUAUUAGUAUAAUUUGGCAUUUGUUAUGCAAGUUGUGAACACCAGCUAUUAAAAUAUAUUUUAGUAGAAAUGCUUUAAUUCAUGUUGUUUUCCUCUACACUGUGAAUCUUAAGCCUUGGUGGACCAGAGACACAUUGUGAUGUCCAAAGGACUAACCUAUGCAAAUGAGUUCACAUCUUAUAUUGAUAUCACAAUAAACAUGUGAUAAGGCAUUAUUUCUCCUCAUAAUGUACAGCAGUAUUGAAAUAACAAAGGAAGCCCAGCCUCCCAUAUAUUACACUGUAGUCCCUCACAAUCCCUUCAAGGCUACCGAAAUCAUUAGCAUUUAUGUAAAUCAGACUGAUAUCAACUAAAGCGACUUGAAUGAUUCUGGACAGAAAAUGAUGGACAAGCAUCUCGACUGGAUUUCAUAGAACUAUGUUCUCACAUACUCUCUGUUCAGGGUCUUGGUAUUCUAUGUCUUCUAUCUGUAUUUGUAAAGCCUUAUGAUGAAUUGAUUUCCUAUCAACACACUCAGUUUGCUUAAAUAAAUUCAGGAUGUAACACAAUGGUUCUACAUCUUUGCUGUCACGUGGUUCCUAGACCAGGCCAUUGGAUGCUUGCAGCACAGUGGGCAUUCCUACUGUUGGCUCACAUGCAGGCAUAGCAAAGGCUCAUGAAGACAUAGUGUAUUUAUUUUUAAGUGCUAUGGAGAAUGUGUUUUUCCCCAUGAAACUAACACACAUUUAAGAAAUAAUUAUAUACUUUUUAAUCCCACAAUCUUUCUGAUGUUUAUACCCAUGUAUUGCUGGGACACAUCCUCGUAGCUAACUUUUUUUCAAAACUGAAGUCUUCCCUGGCCUGGUGUUAGUUUUCUUGUAUUUGAAAGAUGAAAGUAGCAACAGAAGCAACUUGGAGGAAGGAAAGGGCACGGAUUGAUACUCUGAUCUUUCAUCAAAGAAUGUCUAUCAUAGAACAUAAUUGCUUCUUUUCUCAUGUUUCUGUAUCACAGAACGUAAUUGCUUCUUUUCUCAUGGUUUUCUCAUAACUGAAAAGACAGGUAGUUCCAAUUUUUACCCUCAUCUACACUUCAAUAAAUUGGAUCUUGGCUUUA